Molecule: long non-coding RNA, 781 nt
Filed under: Setaria italica (foxtail millet)
Lineage: Eukaryota; Viridiplantae; Streptophyta; Magnoliopsida; Poales; Poaceae
Description: long non-coding RNA (SITA_LNC002530)
Source: RNAcentral
GCCGCCGGCGGUCCUGCCCUUCAGCCGGCCGGCCGGCCGCUCCGUCUCCCAGCGGCAUCGCCCAAGGCCGGCCGCCGCCAAGACUCGGCUUCUCCGGCCGGUGCCCGUCCUGUCCCAGCCCGCCGCCCGGUGCCAGGCCACCACCAGCCCCUGUGCGCCCUCCGGCCUCCGACCCAGCGGCCUCGCUUCUCCGAGGAGGUGGAGUGCUAGCUGCUUCUCUCCACUAAGCACUAGUACCCGUGCUUCUUUGCUUGUAGCCCAACGAGCAGGCCAACAGGCACACACGCUCAACUCCCUGCUCCUCUAUUUCUUUUUCCCCUUCCUGCUACCUACAACGCUCAAGCAAGCUGCACUAAAUCCAUGGUGAUGGCUGGGGUCCUCCGAUCAUUACUACUCCAAUGUGAUUCUCGAAGGUCUCUAGUUGCUAUUACUCCAUUUCCCCCUUCGAUUUCUUCCUCUGUUGUGAUUAUCACCUCACCCUAGCAGCUUGUGCAGGAUGGGCCGCUGCCGGCGAACUGCUCGGCCAUGGUGCCGUGGCCGGCAAUCUGUAGUGCUGUGAGGGGACUCAAGAGGCGCGUGUGGAGGCUCAUAUGGCUGGGCUUCUAGCUGUACGUCGGUGCCGAAUCUUGUGGAUGCAGCUUUCGUGAGCUAGCUGUGCAAUGCUCUCCGAGGACCAUCACUGAGGAGGUGGAGUGCUCCCUGUGCUGUCAGACGAGCUCGUCUGCUACUGCUACACCAUCAAGGAGUUCCUGAUGCUCAACUGCAUUACUAGAUGAUCGAG